This 32-nucleotide ribosomal RNA is filed under the name Pistacia vera. RNAcentral's name for it is "partial 26S ribosomal RNA". The record is from RNAcentral. Lineage: Eukaryota; Viridiplantae; Streptophyta; Magnoliopsida; Sapindales; Anacardiaceae.
GGAUUACCCGCUGAGUUUAAGCAUAUCAAUAA